CCUGCGCAGCCAUUUCACGAUCUGAUAAGCCACCACAAAUUUGAAUAAUUCGAUCUGAUAACGUCGAUUUACCGUGGUCAAUAUGUGCGAUAAUGGAAAAGUUACGUAUGUUUUUCAUUCUGAAAUUAUUUUUCUCUAUUGCUUUGCUCUAUAAAUCUGGCUUUGGAGUCAUUCAUGGACACAAAGCGAAAACUCUAUAUUGCAGGAGUUAUUAUUGAUGACGCAUUCUACACACUAGAGACAUUAUACUCAAAGAAACGUUCAUCAAACACAAACAUUUAUGCUAAGACUUGCAUUUAUUUGUGAUUUUUUUGAGACAAUUUCUAGAUAUCGAAACGCAUUAAUUUAAGAUGAAAACAAUAACGAAAUUAGCCAAGCAAAAAAUAAUGGGGCUAACGCCCCUUCUUUUUUUAUCUGCUAACUACUCUUGGAAUUGAACCUUAAGUUCAUGAGGAGGAAGACCUAUUUGUAAUAUAACCGGUUCAAAACCUUCAUCUUUGCUCCACCAUGUUGCCACUCUUUUUGCUAAUAAAAAGCCAAGAAGGCCACCAGCAAGACCACUACAAAAAAUAGCAAAUUCACUGGAAAACCAAAGGCUCGCAAUGCCCGCAACAAUAAAUAGGCCAAUAAGUGGCGUUAAAUACACCAACAUCGCAGAAAGAAGUAGAUUAUUUUCAGGGAUCCCAACUUCCACUUUUUGUCCUUCGACUAAAGGUUGUGCUACUGGAAGUUCGAGUUGAUGAACAGUUUCGGGUCCUAUUUUAUUCAAUAAAUAAGAACCACACGCGGCACGAGCUUGACAACUACCACAGCCAGAAGAAGAACCAUAGCGCAAUAACGCUCUUCCUUCAUGCCAAUGUAUAACUGUUGCCCACUCUUUAACCAUAA
This 888-nucleotide non-coding RNA is filed under the name Proteus vulgaris. Lineage: Bacteria; Pseudomonadati; Pseudomonadota; Gammaproteobacteria; Enterobacterales; Morganellaceae. The record is from RNAcentral.